AUGGAAACUUGCAUUUGGGAUGAGCUGACAAGCUCCAAGACAGGGGUAACGCCGUCCUCUGAAAACCCCAGUGGUGCUACUUCUAGUGUCAGCCAAGGAAAGCCUUCUUUAAGACGAAUUAAAGGGAGACUGCACAGGAGCAAGAGCCUCGAUAGCAUCGAUUUCUGUGAACUCACUGUGAGUGGAUGGUUUAAGACUUUUCUUCCUUUUCAAAGCAUAUGAAAAAAUUAAAUUUUACAAAAUUUCAUUAAAAAGCAACAAGGCUUAUUUUGUGUUAAGCAUUUUUCAGUAAAAACUGGUUUACCCAGCAGGUUACCAACCGGUAUAACUUCCUUAACCAGUACCCAUAGAUACAUUUAUGAUAAGUGGUUCAUAAUGAUGAUUCUGGUUCACAGACCAAGAUAAAGAUGUGUUUCCUGAACUCUACAAUAAAAACUGAAUUAAGGUCAGUGGAUGAAAUGAAUUUCUUGGAAAAUCACAAAUCCACAUGUUAAUGUAGGUACAGACCUAAGUAUUUGAUGAACCCCAAACACCC
Molecule: long non-coding RNA, 535 nt
Filed under: Capra hircus (goat)
Lineage: Eukaryota; Metazoa; Chordata; Mammalia; Artiodactyla; Bovidae
Description: lncRNA (ENSCHIG00000005406.1)
Source: RNAcentral